UUUAAUAUAAAAACAACAGUGUAUGUAUAUUCAUAAACUUCCCUUUCUUGUGUACUUUCUCUUUCUUCUGUACUUGGCUUUUUGUUUUCUGUACACUGCUCAGAAAUACACUGUUCUGUACCUUGGUACAUAGUGGAUAGAGAUCACUCCAUGUCAGCCUGGAGAGCUCAUCCUCACUUUUUUUUUUUAACAGCUUAUGGACUCCUUGAGUGGAUGAUUUAUUUAACCAGUCCCCUCCUGAUGAACACUGGGUUGUUUCAAGAGCAUUUGCUGUUACAAAUAAUGUGGAGCAGUCAUAAUCUUUGCAUGUGAGUACGUGCACACUUCCCCUGGCCACAUCUGGGAGACUCCUGGAGAGUGCUGUGAUGACUCAGACCCACUUCUGAGAACAUGGCCCGGUGAAGACUGAGUGGAGGCGAUGCAGGCUUAUAAGCAUCACUGAGGAUGGCAGAUGGAACUCGUCACUGGAACUCAGGAGAGAGAAGAGAUAAUGGAGAACUGCUGGGGGAGAAGCUCUCCAUAACAAGAAGGUAAACAACUGUGUGGUUUCUGAGGGAGUGCUGAGCUUAGACAAACAUCUACCUCAAUUUUUAGCAGCUUUCUGCAGGAAAGAAGAACCCAGGGCCAGAGGCAGUAAAAGGAUGGGCUGCCCUGAGAAGGACUGAGGACUCAAGGAAGAAAAAACACAGUUAAAAUGAUGAAAAAAAAAAAAACGAUAUCGAUAAGGAAGAAACAGGGAAACGUGUAAAGAAAUAAGAAUAGCUGAAUACAUGGCUGUGUCUAAAAAUCUCAUAUUUUAUAUGUUUACUGAAAAGUGAGAUGACAUGACUCCCUCUUCUCUCCCCUCUUGAAAUAUCAGUAGUCCAAUAAAAGUCCAUACAGAAGUACUAAAUGUAUUAGUAAUGAAAUUCUUUUAAAAAUGCAUGCAAAGGGACGCCUGGGUGGCUCAGUGGGUUAAGCAGCUGCCUACAG
Mustela lutreola (European mink) is the source of this 972-nucleotide long non-coding RNA. RefSeq lists it as uncharacterized. The transcript has 3 exons. NCBI's taxonomy places the organism in Eukaryota, Metazoa, Chordata, Mammalia, Carnivora, Mustelidae. The record is from RefSeq and is a predicted model, not a curated record.